RNAcentral lists this ribosomal RNA (465 nucleotides) under Vreelandella stevensii. RNAcentral describes it as "partial 16S ribosomal RNA". It matches the Rfam family "Bacterial small subunit ribosomal RNA", at positions 338 to 795 of the family's 1533-position model. The record is from RNAcentral. Lineage: Bacteria; Pseudomonadati; Pseudomonadota; Gammaproteobacteria; Oceanospirillales; Halomonadaceae.
CCUACGGGUGGCUGCAGUGGGGAAUAUUGGACAAUGGGGGGAACCCUGAUCCAGCCAUGCCGCGUGUGUGAAGAAGGCCCUCGGGUUGUAAAGCACUUUCAGUGAGGAAGAACGCCUGGUGGUUAAUACCCAUCAGGAAAGACAUCACUCACAGAAGAAGCACCGGCUAACUCCGUGCCAGCAGCCGCGGUAAUACGGAGGGUGCGAGCGUUAAUCGGAAUUACUGGGCGUAAAGCGCGCGUAGGUGGCUUGAUAAGCCGGUUGUGAAAGCCCCGGGCUCAACCUGGGAACGGCAUCCGGAACUGUCAAGCUAGAGGGCAGGAGAGGAAGGUAGAAUUCCCGGUGUAGCGGUGAAAUGCGUAGAGAUCGGGAGGAAUACCAGUGGCGAAGGCGGCCUUCUGGACUGACACUGACACUGAGGUGCGAAAGCGUGGGUAGCAAACAGGAUUAGAUACCCCGGUAGUC